GUUUUAUACUUUAAACGCGAAGAGAAAGUAAAACGGGAUUAUGUUGCUGUUGAUAAAAGCUAUUGUUUCUGCUUUAAACGGGCGCUGAUACUUUUGUCCGAUUAAAGCAAUUUCAUGUUAUUAAAAUCAUUAACGGGUUUGUGAAAAGAAAUCGCAAUGUUUUCUAAGGUUUCUUGGAAGAGAAUGUUUAACAGGAAAAGAGUCAACUAGUUUCACUUCGGAAAAAUAUCCUUCCGCCUUCAUUGACAGUCAGGUAUAUACUAAUUAGACUCCUAGAAUGGAAUAAUAAUGUUUAUUUUUCGUUGUAAUGUUACGCUUAAUUACAUUUUCCGUGACGGCGCAGGAACUUACCUGUGAAUGUUCAAGGCUUUUAUGAAAACGCUUUUCCUUAAACGUUCACAAAGACAGUUUUUUUUUCUAUCGAUAUGCACCAAAUAAUAUAUUUUUUUACAAUAGAUAAUAUCAAUAUUUAUCGAGAUAUAUCAUGUUAUUAAUGAUAAUGAUUAAAACAACAAUGUUCUGUCUCCUAAUAUGAGUCAAGAAUAAUAGUUAAAGAGUUUAGCAUAAAUGCUGAUAACCUAAGGGCUUCUCUGCAUAUCUUGUUAUGCAUAUGUUUUGUUAACCGUCACGAAGAUGUACUUGAUUGUAGUCGCGCUUGGUUUCCUGCAGCACACGACACCAUACACUUAUGACUACAAGGUAGAUCCUUAGUCGCCCUCGCGAUACAAAUUGUCUCCUUCUCGAGGCAAGAUAACGGUACUCUUCUCUAGCGUGAUUUCACAAGAGAGGUGAACUUCAUGCGGAAAACUCGACGCUCGACUGCGGCGAGGGAAUGUUCAAAUUGCAGAUAUUCUACUGUAAAUAAAAGCGACAAAUGAUUUUAACGAGCAAUAUUAUUUCAACAAAAUUACCUCAAGUAUGUUUGCACCUUGCAGUAAUGCAUGUGUAUGGCACACUUCAAUUCAAAUAACAUUAAGUUCAAGACAAAUCAAGUUUGUAAGUCAAUUGUUAGAAGCUGAAAGGUCUUCUUUGAUGUUUCCUCAAAGAAAUGGUUAUAAAUAGAAAUAGAUUUUUUCUAUAAAUAAACUAUUUCAAAAAUGUUUCUGACAGUAAGUCACGAUAUCUUUGUUACAAUAUUGUGGGGAUGUUAAUUCUCUAGCUUUAUUUCCCCCAAUUUUAUAACUUCUAAUUUUUCUCAUUAAUAGGUACAUUGAUGAAUUGAAUUAAAUCUCUCUCUCUCUCUUUCUCUCUCUCUUGAUUGAAAACUAUAAUAAGAUGCUCCAAGAUCUAAGUCAACUAUCGUAGAGUCCAUUAUACUCUAUACUCCUCAUUCAGGGUUAAGUAAAUGAAGGACCGUACUCCUAUAUAAUUUGAAGGGGCAGGAUAAAAAGAAAGAGCAGGGUUGAUCAAUGGGGGGAAGGGAGUGACCGAAGAGAAGAAAGAAGUCUCGAAGGUCAGGAUAGUCCUGGGGGCUCGCACAAGGAUAUAAAGGUGCAAAUUUCCGCGAAGUUUCGCAGAGCAAAAUACCACCGCUGCUCGCUUGAGGUAGUCUCGCUUGGCAGAGCGCAAAACAACCACGACGUUCGUCUAACCAUCUUGCUCGGCUAACGGAAAACGGUACCACAACGCGCCAGCGCUAGAAUUAUUGCUACUGUCGUCGUCGUUGUCGUGGUUAAAGAAAAGAAGAACGGCUGGAGUGUUCCUCGGUGUCGUCGAUAAACCUCGCGGAUAAUGAUCGAUUGUCUUGCGACAAGAACGUGAAUGCAUUUGCUUUGCUGCGCUUCAUCGUGUAUUCAGAGCCAAGUGAAAUCAGUAUUACGUGAAACUCUUUACAUUGUUAGAAUCGUACUUGGAUGGAUGUAAAAUUUCUACAAUUGUUGUGUGACAAGAGUGACAAUUUCGGGAAUAGAUUUGAUGACUGGCAUUUGCGCCAAUUUUGAUUUCACGCAACCAAAGGAAAUUUUAGUUAAGUAACAAGUAUCUGUUAUGUCACGUGUUGUAUACUAUGUAACUUAUGUAAUCAACGAAAAAAAAUAUGUUAUAUAAUUUUUACUAUUAUCUAUUUUAAGUUUUCCUCUUUUCUGAAAGAAAAAUGGCGAUAUAUAUGUUCUGGAGCAACUUGCUUAUUUACUUUGCAUAUUUGUAAAUUAUAAUGGCAUAGCAAACAUUUCUACAAUUCCAGCAUUUUUAACACGCAUGAGUUAAUUAUAGAUUGACAUCAAUACAAUAUCCCAUAUAAUUGUGAUUACGUCAAAAUCAUCGGUCCACCUUCCGCGCAAAUUCCUUUCAUUUUUGUUGCACUUGUGGAUCAGAACGAUACUAAGUGUGCUUUCGUUUGCGGUCCACCUGUUGCUUAAGGACCGAGAAUCUCCCAAGCAUUAAAGUCGAUUAACUCGAGCGGUCAUUAAAAGAGAAACAUGAACAACCGAGGACUUGUCGCUGUCCGCCACGCGAUUCCGCUUCGCGAUUUCACUCCGCGGCACGGCUCGUCGCGGCACCGUCGUCGCGAUGUGGCAGCGGGAAAAUCGACCGUGUCUCGCAUGAUCGUUCACAGGUGAGCAUAAGUGACCAGUUACUAGCGGUCACGAGCCGAAUGAUUAAUGCACAGUGAACAAAGGAACGGCACGGAGAAAGGUAUCGUUGUUGUAUUUGUUGCGUUCGUUGUUAACUGACGGCGAGGUGCUCGGCCGCCCACCCUCCCGUCACCCCCCAGUCACCCGUUUGUUAUCGCGGGAUCAUGAGAUUAUCGCGUGAAAAUAAUCCGCUAUUCGUGGGUGGUCAUCGAAGAUGAGGAAUCGAUACCUUGCUGGACGGGUGUUACCCUGUAUCGAAUACAAGUGGAGGAGCACAAAGAGUGCUCCAAUGCUGUAAACACUUUCUUGUGUUAUUAUCUCGUCGUGAUAUUAUAUUGAUAAAAUUAAAACGCAGUAGAUCAUUUAUUGAUGGAAGUUGCAUUAGGCUAAGUUUUGAUCAACUUACAUUACUUGUAUACUGCUUAUACUGCUUAUCAAGAAAAAGUAAAUUAAUCUUUUUUCAUGCAAUGGGUUUGUCAUGAAGUUUAUCAUAAGAUUUUUAUUUUGACUAAUUUUAUAUCAGUGCAAUCGUCGUUUGUUUUGUUUAUUAUAUGUAAUAUUAUUGAAUUAUUUGAAUGGUCUUUUUCUUCAUUCUGCAGUUCUUUCCUUUUAUGUCUAGCAAUAAGACAAGUGACUGGCUGUUCCUGAUGCACGUUUUUCUGGCUUUCUACGCGCCUUUUGAUUGAUCUGUGAGAAAUCAGCAGAUGCUACGAUAAUCGACACAAUAUGGUACGAAGAAUCACGACCUAGGCCAACCGAGGAUCUAUGGAAACAGAACCUGCGAAGGUUCUGAUUUCGGGAUGGGUCGGUGAGAUUCAUCACCUGCUCAUCAUCGAGCGUGGGAUGAUGCUGGUGAUCCAGAGGAAGUGGGUGGAUAUCCUGACAAGCUGCUGGCUGCUGGAUUUUUCUCAGACUCGUCGUUGGGAGAGAGGGAUAUAAAUUUCCUUAAAACACCAGAAGGACGAACUUGGGCUGUCCAUGACGGCAGCUGCCUCUAGUGCCCACGAGACAUCACGGGACAAGCACCACGUGAAAGGAGAGACGAAGUCCUUAGAACAGGACGUGCGCCUCUCGUCUCGCUUCCGGGUUCGCCUGUAUAUUAGAUAUUCAUGCCCGUUUCCUAUGGCGCACCUGGCGCUUUUUCCUCUCGUCGACGCGAUGCGGCAUGGCGCGGAAAGCGGUGGACGGGAACUAGUUUUAAAGACAUCGCACUCGCGCCAGCGAGUAACGACCUACCGAGUGAGUGAGAAUUUUUUUCGCCAUUCGUGUUCACGGCCGAUUUGUAUAUAUCUCUACAUACACCAUAAGUCUGUGCGUUGUCAGCGAAAGUAGUGAGACAAGUUUAAUGGCGGGGGAAGGAUUGUGUACUCUGACAACGGUUCGUGGGAAAUCGCGUUCGCUCUGACACUCGAGCACUUUCGUUCACGACGGCUGAGAGAUUGCUGGGAAAAACUAGGAGCCUGAGAAAAUCAUCGAUCGAAUUUUUCAUUAAUCUUGCAGACAUUUAUUCGCAACCGCAACUAUAAAUGUACACAAGACAAAGAUCAAUGUCGUCUGGCUCAAGUAAUCUAUACAAUAACAAGUCCUGUUAUCAGUAUGAAACAUCAUUCUCGGUAAUAAAUACUUGAUAUUGAUUGAAUAUUUUUAUUUUUUUGUAAGAUAUAUAUUUAAAGAGUUAGCUCAUUUGGCGGCAUAGUCGAUGCUAUACAUGUAUUUGCUUUAUUUUUCGUUUUUGAAAGUCAGUGUCAUUUGCCUACAGAAUAACAAGACAAUACGAAACAUUGCCAAUUGUUGAGCGCGAAAUUGCGAUACGAGUCACGAGAAUCUGAAUCCAAAGGCCAUCGCGAACGUUGCUUAGUACACACGAAUGUGGAUUGAUAAGAAGAAGAAAAGCGCGGCGUCGUAUUUCGAUAUGCACCUUAUCGAUGCAACGUAGAAUCAUGUUAAGGCAGGUAAAUUAUAUCAAUGGCCAUCGAUCAGUAAAAGACAAUUAUGAAUGAAAAGAGUGCUCAGUGCUUUGUAACACUUGUAAUUUUAUUUUGUCAAAAAACUACAUCUAGUUUAUUCAUUUAAGAUUUAAGGUUUAUUAAUUAAAAAUAUUAGAUAAUCUCCGCAAUAAUGUAGAGCGCAAAAUUUUAUUAACUUUCUCACUGUAUCAAAACAUAUGAUGAUGAUUACUAUUAUUAUAUACAUAUAUUUCUUAUUACAUUUCUGAUAUCAUUCUAAUAUCAUUUAUGGUUGACAGCAUAAUCAAUAAAGUUUAAAGAAGCUAUAUAAUUCUAAAUCAUUCGUUCAAAGAAAUUCGUUUUCAUACAAUCCCAUGAAUCAUAAGAGGCUGCUUCCGUAAGGGAUGCUGUGUACUUUCCCUUAUGGAGCUAGGUUACCUAGGCAAACCUGUCCCAAUAUUUACGGAAUUGUGGCCUUUUAUACCUCUCGUCAUCUUUUCCCAAAGAGGACACCGCAAAGUGGCUAAGGACCUUUUGACUGUGUAUGCUCCUUUUGUGUGCUUCGUGCAUCACGAAGAUGGGCACUUAGCUCACAAGAAGCUGCAAUUUGUGAGACUUUCAUAACUGUGGGCGAAUAUUGCAUUUGAGCAUGUCGUAGAUAGCCGGAAGCAAAAUAUCACAACGCUUAGGCCUAAUAAUGAUGCUAUUAUAUUUUUCUUUGGAGUUUUCUCGUUGACUGUGCUCAACACCUCUUAUUUGAAAUAAGAUUACCACAAAAUAUGUAGCAUGCUUAGGAAAACAAGUAUAACUAAGCAUCACUUCUAAAAAGACAUACCAGUGAAAAUGAGGCAUAGAGAUCAAAUGUCAUCCAGAUGUUUAUAAAAAUUUUUACAAAGUUCUUUAAUUUCUUGCGAAAUGUAAUUUGCCUAAUUUUUAAUUGCUCUGCAACAAGAGGAACUCAUAAAAAUUGGAUAUGCAGAUAAUACUUAUUAUACGUAUUAUCGAAAAACACAUCUUUUUAAGUCUGCGCCACAUGAGCCGAGCCUUGAAUGCGCAGGAGCGUGCGAAUGCCAUACUGGCAAAGUGAGCAACAACAUGGGCUUUAGUUACGUGCCAACAGAAUACAUGAAUACGUUAUCGUGUACGUGCUGCUUUUUCAAUCUACCCUUCUUCUUUCUCGACACGAAUGAGCGACUCGUCACUUCGCGGAACCCUUCAAAUAUUAUCGACAAGAGACAAGCCAGGCAAUUGCGUAUAUUUCAGGGAACGAGCUUUCUCGUCCAGUAUCGAAAGGAAGCACGAGACAAACCGCAAAGCAUUAUCGAAAUCUAAGACGCAACUCGCGUAUUUUAUCAUGCAUUACACUUCGAGCCGCACCUGCAAAAAUAGAUACUAAUAUCAUUUGCGUGGUAUAUUGCACCUUUAUUGUAUUCUACCCUACGUUUUAUUGUGUUCGGACCGAGAAGAGAAUACUUAUUUCUUAUUUCUUUUUCAUUAUAUAUAUAU
Molecule: long non-coding RNA, 6025 nt
Filed under: Ooceraea biroi (clonal raider ant)
Lineage: Eukaryota; Metazoa; Arthropoda; Insecta; Hymenoptera; Formicidae
Description: uncharacterized LOC109611566
Source: RNAcentral